This is a non-coding RNA of Vicia faba (fava bean), 273 nucleotides long. The record is from the annotation of a GenBank genome assembly. Lineage: Eukaryota; Viridiplantae; Streptophyta; Magnoliopsida; Fabales; Fabaceae.
AUGAAAAGCAGAAAGAAAACAAGACGGAAAGGAAAAUCAUUGUCGCCGAAAUCUCAUUGGAAACGCGCCUCCGCCUUACACGAUGCUGCCCCCGGACAACCGGAUGUAUCCUCCGUCCAGAUCGCUCUGUCGACAUCCCAUCAGCCGCGAAUCUCCGCAAGCACCGAUCGGUCGUUGUAUUUUUGUUCUGAACUUUCACGUUUUUUGUUGUUGUUUAAGUUUGCAGUGAAGGAGAGGAUGGAACUUGGGAAGGGAAUGGUACGAAAAGAAUAA